RNAcentral lists this ribosomal RNA (497 nucleotides) under uncultured bacterium. RNAcentral describes it as "partial 16S ribosomal RNA". It matches the Rfam family "Bacterial small subunit ribosomal RNA", at positions 29 to 507 of the family's 1533-position model. The record is from RNAcentral.
AAUGAACGCUGGCGGCAGGCCUAAUACAUGCAAGUCGAGCGGACGAAUGGGGAUCUUUCUUGGAUUAAGUGGCGGACGGGCGAGUAAUUCACACGUAUAUGCCCGACCGAGGGGGAUGACGUACCGACAGGGAAGCGAAUACAACAUCCGUUAAGAGAUUGAACCUGGUGGAUCUUUGGAGCAAGACCUAUUUGAUGACACUAAUAGGUAGUACCGCGCCGGAUUAGCUAGUUGGUACGGUAACGGCUUACCAAGGCAACGAUGCGUAGCCGAUCUGAGAGGGUGAUCGGCCACACUGGAACUGAGACACGGUCCAGACUCCUACGGGAGGCAGCAGUGGGGAAUAUUGGACAAUGGGCGAAAGCCUGAUCCAGCCAUGCCGCGUGUGUGAUGAAGGUCUUCGGAUUGUAAAGCACUUUUAUUUGGGAGGAAGAGAAGUAAGUUUAUACAUUGCCGUCUUGACGUUACCAAAAGAGUAAGCACCGGCUAACUUCGUG